Molecule: ribosomal RNA, 253 nt
Filed under: uncultured bacterium
Lineage: Bacteria
Description: partial 16S ribosomal RNA
Rfam family: Bacterial small subunit ribosomal RNA
Source: RNAcentral
UACGUAGGGGGCAAGCGUUGUCCGGAAUCAUUGGGCGUAAAGAGCGUGUAGGCGGCCAGAAAAGUCCGCUGUGAAAACUCGAGGCUCAACUUCGAGCUGUCGGUGGAAACUUUCUGGCUAGAGUCCGGAAGAGGAGAAUGGAAUUCCUGGUGUAGCGGUGAAAUGCGCAGAUAUCAGGAGGAACACCGGUGGCGAAAGCGCUCAUCUGGCCCGAUACUGACGCUGAUGCGCGAAAGCUAGGGGAGCGAACGGG